GGAGAGGUGGCAGAGCGGUCUAAUGCACACGCUUGGAGAGCGUGAGUCCGAGAAAUCGGACCGCGAGUUCGAAUCUCGCCCUCUCCG
RNAcentral lists this transfer RNA (87 nucleotides) under Candidatus Sungiibacteriota bacterium. RNAcentral describes it as "tRNA-Ser". It matches the Rfam family "tRNA". From Rfam's summary of the family: Transfer RNA (tRNA) molecules are approximately 80 nucleotides in length. Their secondary structure includes four short double-helical elements and three loops (D, anti-codon, and T loops). The record is from RNAcentral. Lineage: Bacteria; Candidatus Sungiibacteriota.